This 375-nucleotide transfer-messenger RNA is filed under the name Chlamydiales bacterium. It matches the Rfam family "transfer-messenger RNA". From Rfam's summary of the family: Bacterial tmRNA, also known as 10Sa RNA or SsrA, is named for its dual tRNA and mRNA-like properties. Its role is to liberate the mRNA from a stalled ribosome. The record is from RNAcentral. Lineage: Bacteria; Pseudomonadati; Chlamydiota; Chlamydiia; Chlamydiales.
GGGGGUGUCAAGGUUUCGACUUGGAAAUAAAGUAUGGGUGGCAUGUAGAGGACAAUCGUUGGCCUCUUAAAAUAUCCGAUUAAAUUAGAAAAGACAACUCUCAACAAGAGUUUGAACUCGCAGCUUAAUCGCUGCGAAUUCACGGUAGCCUGGGAUCUGACCUAGAGUUCCAGAUGUUCUACUGUUAUAUAUCUUGGUAUGAACCCCUCGUUCUUGAGUGAUCUUGAAGGGAGUUCGAGACCCAAUUGGAAAACUCGUAGAGCCUCAAGUAGUGCGCUUAAUAGCAAGGCUUCCUAAAAACCCUAAGCGCUAAGCAUGUAGUCAUCCAUAUAGAGUUUGCUAAGGACGAGAGUUCGAUUCUCUCCACCUCCAAAA